Molecule: ribosomal RNA, 424 nt
Filed under: uncultured bacterium
Lineage: Bacteria
Description: partial 16S ribosomal RNA
Rfam family: Bacterial small subunit ribosomal RNA
Source: RNAcentral
AAUAUUUGACCAUGGGCGAAAGCCUAAUCCAGCCAGGCCGUGUGUGUGAAGAAGGUCUUCGGAUUGUAAAGCACGUUAUGUUGGGAGGAAGGGUAGUAAGUUAAUACCUUGCUGUUUUGACGUUACCGACAGAAUAAGCACCGUCUAACUUCGUGCAAGCAGCCGCGGUAAUACGAAGGGCUCAAGCGUUAAUCGGAAUUACUGGGCGUAAAGCGCGCGUAGGUGGUUCGUUAAGUUGGAAGUGAAAACCCCGGGCUUAACAAGGGAAUUGCUUUCAAAACUGACGAGCUAGAGUACGGUAGAGGGUAGUGGAAUAUCCUGUGUAGCGGUGAAAUGCGUAGAUAUAGGAAGGAACAUCAGUGGCGAAGGCGACUACCUGGACUGAUACUGACACUGAGGUGCGAAAGCGUGGGGAGCAAACAGG